ACACUACAUGGCUUGUAGUGCAGCCAAAAUAAGCAAUUUGUAGCAAAAUGUGUUAUCAGUUAAGAUUGGAAGCUUUGGAUAACAUACUUAUUUCUAUCAUGUGGCUAUUUUUUUUUUUAAUUGAAACUACAGAGCUAUAGCAUACUCCUAUACAUGAGGAUAAGGUCAACUCUGAAGGGAAUGGCUAUUCCUAUCAAUACUAUCAGACAUCCUAGCAAAAACUGUCCUGCCACAGAAAAUGAACACUCAGAAGAAAGGUGUUACAGGCUGAAUUGCGUCCCCACAGAUAUGUUACUGUAUACGAAGACAGAGCCUUUACGAGUUUAACAAAUUCUGAAGUAUGCAGUCGGCACGAGGAAAAUGAGGGAUAUAUUUUGACAGUCUAUACAGAAUUCGAUUUGGGAAGAUGAUUACGGCUUGGAUAUUCAAACUACAGUUAGAUACAGGGUUAUGGCUUUGGGAGAGGACGAACACAGAGAUAAAGUACCAUUCUCUCACCACAUCAUAUCAAAGG
This is a long non-coding RNA of Pan troglodytes (chimpanzee), 514 nucleotides long. RefSeq lists it as uncharacterized. The transcript has 3 exons. The record is from RefSeq and is a predicted model, not a curated record. Lineage: Eukaryota; Metazoa; Chordata; Mammalia; Primates; Hominidae.